CUGGGCAGCUCUAUCACUUCUCCAGAUGAGGUUACGCCUCCAUGAAGAUAGUUAAGGACCUUUGAAGACUCCAAUUAGCAUCGGUUGUACACCAGAAAUUGCCUUUCUAUUUCAGUUCAAGAAUUUAUCCCAUAUAUGUGCAUUUUGCCAACUUUUACCUCUUUGUGUCCCUUGUCUAGACACCAAUUAGCUCCAAUCAAGAUUACCUUAGCAUCAACCAUAUUGUUUGAGCAAACACCCAGAGUAAGUUAGAAAAGGCUAUAACUAGUUUCCUUUUGUGAUCCGUCAAAAUUCUACUUCUGGCAAGGCCUAGGUAUCUUUUACUACGUCCAUCAGUUUUGAGUUUCAGGUAACCAUUAGGUGGAUUGAGCCAUUUGACUGGGAUGAUGUUUAGAGCAGGUUUGAUGUUUUCCAUCAAAAAGUAAACUUGUUUACAAGUGGAAGGGCUAGGAAGAACG
Molecule: long non-coding RNA, 458 nt
Filed under: Capsicum annuum
Lineage: Eukaryota; Viridiplantae; Streptophyta; Magnoliopsida; Solanales; Solanaceae
Description: long non-coding RNA (CANN_LNC020823)
Source: RNAcentral